Molecule: long non-coding RNA, 235 nt
Filed under: Homo sapiens (human)
Lineage: Eukaryota; Metazoa; Chordata; Mammalia; Primates; Hominidae
Description: PIGY divergent transcript
Source: RNAcentral
GGGUGCUUCUGCUCCGACUGCUUUUCCCACGGGCGUCAUCUAUAGUCCGGAGGACAGCCCCAGGGCAGAGGCCUCUGUUCAUCUAGUUUUUCCAUGUCCGAAGACUCAAAGAUUCUCAUUAGUCAUCCAUUUUUUCCCUCCGUUCUGCUGAAUAUCAACCUGAACUUUUUUUUUGCAUCACUGGGCAUUAUCAUUUCACACUUUGAGUUCCUGGAGCUGGAAGUACAGAAUCCAA